RNAcentral lists this long non-coding RNA (713 nucleotides) under Homo sapiens (human). Its description in RNAcentral is "non-protein coding lnc-RAI1-2:1". The record is from RNAcentral. Lineage: Eukaryota; Metazoa; Chordata; Mammalia; Primates; Hominidae.
AAACUCUUGAAUACUAAAUUUAGGUGUAUUAUUGCCUUUUAAAAUAUUUAUUUGAGAUGAGGUCUCACUGUGUUGCCCGGACUGGUCUCAAAAACUCCUGGGCGCAAGUGAUCCUUCCGCCUCAGCCUCCUGAGUAGCUAGAAUGACUUUUUCUUUUUCUCUUUUUGAGAUGGAGUCUUGCUCUGUCACCCAGCCUGGAGUGCAGUGGUGCGAUCUCGGCUCACUGCAACCUCCGCCUCCUGGAUUCAAGCAAUUCUCUGUCUCAGCCUCCCAAGUGGCUGGGAUUACAGGUACCUGCCACCACACCUGGCUAAUUUUUGUUUCUGUUUUUUUGAGAUGGAGUCUAGCUCUGUCGCCAGGCUGGAAUGCAGUGGCACGAUCUUGGCUCACUGCAACCUCUACCUCCUGGGUUCAAGCAAUUCGCCUGCCUCAGCCUCCCAAGUAGCUGGGAUUACAAGCAUGCGCUGCCACGCCCAGCUAAUUUUUGUAUUUUUAGUAGAGAUGGGGUUUCACCAUGUUGGCCAGGACGGUCUCAAUCUCCUGACCUCGUGAUCCACCCACCUCAGCCUCUCAAAGUGCUGGGAUUACAGGCGUGAGCCAUUGUGCCCGGCCCUAAUUUUUGCAUUUUUAUUAGAGACAGGGUUUCACCAUCUUGGCCAGGCUGUUCUUGAACUCCCACCUCGGCCUCCCAAAGUGCUGGGAUUACAGGCGUG